Molecule: long non-coding RNA, 1114 nt
Organism: Lampris incognitus (smalleye Pacific opah)
Lineage: Eukaryota; Metazoa; Chordata; Actinopteri; Lampriformes; Lampridae
Exons: 3
Source: RefSeq, a predicted model, not a curated record
CGGAGAGGGUCAUCAAGCGGGAAGAGGGAGAGAAGCUGGCGAAGGAAUAUGGAGUCCCGUUCAUGGAGACCAGUGCCAAGACUGGAGUCAACGUGGAGCUGGCCUUCCUCGCCGUAGCGAAGGAGCUGAAGCACAGAGCCGCCCAGCAGCCCAACGAACCCAAGUUCCACAUCCACGACUACAUCGAGUCCAAGAAGCACAGGUCUGGCUGCUGCGGCCUCGAGUAGUGGGCGAGAGAGAGAGAGAGAGUCUGGUCCGAGGCUAUCCCUAAUCUGAAAUGUGAAUUUGAAUCAUGUGUUUUCUUCGUGGUGACAAUUGUAUCGAACGACAAGUCGGGAGUAAACCUUUUGAAAUGCUACAUCCACCCGCGGGAGUAAAGAUCCGAUUCUUCAAUGCAAAGCUUCAAAAAUUACAGUUGUUUUUUUUUAAUGACUUAUCAACACGAGGGCGGCACAGCAAGAAGGUCCUGGGCUCGAGCCCCCGGGGUGGUCCAACCUUGGUGGGUCGUCCCGGGGUCGUCCCCCUGUGUGGAGUUUGCAUGUUCUCCCCGUGUCUGGGUGGGUUUCCUCCGGGGCCUCCGGGUUCCUCCCACGGUCCAAAGACAUGGAGGUCAGGUGGAUCGGCCAUACUAAAUUGUCCCUAGGUAUGACUGGGUGUGUGUGUGUGUGUGGGGGGGGGGGGCCCUGUGUGAUGGUCUGGCGGCCUGUCCAGGGUGUCCCCCCGCCUGCCGCCCAAUGACUGCUGGGAUAGGCUCCAGCAUCCCUUCGACCCUGAGAGCAGGAUAAGCGGGUCACAUGACGGAUGGAUGGAUGGAUGGAUGGAUGAUCAACACGACCGUCGAGAAGUCGUGGGUGUAGCAUUUUGCGACGAAGCUCUUCUUCUGCCCCCACCCUACCUCCGCCCGGCUGUGAGCCGACCCCCCAUUGGCCGUACGGUCGUCGCCGUUCUUGCAGAAUUCAGCAAUUUUUUUCCCAGAUCGUCUCAAUAAAGUCCAGUCUCACAGUCGGGUUGCGGCCGAACUGGUCCCCCACGUGUCCCCAUGUGUGCUGGUGUUAGAAUAAAACCACGGAUGUUUUCGGGGCGCCAGCCCGCUGUGUGUGUCUCUGUACCAUCG